GAUGAACGCUAGCGGCAGGCUUAAUACAUGCAAGUCGAACGGGAUUUGAGUAGCAAUAUUCAAUGAGAGUGGCGCACGGGUGCGUAACGCGUAUGCAACCUACCUUUAACAGGGGGAUAGCCCGGAGAAAUCCGGAUUAAUACCCCAUAGUAUAUUUUUGUGGCCUCACAGAAAUAUUAAAGCUCCGGUGGUUAAAGAUGGGCAUGCGUGCCAUUAGCUAGUUGGUGAGGUAACGGCUCACCAAGGCGACGAUGGCUAGGGGUCCUGAGAGGGUUAUCCCCCACACUGGUACUGAGACACGGACCAGACUCCUACGGGAGGCAGCAGUAAGGAAUAUUGGGCAAUGGACGCAAGUCUGACCCAGCCAUGCCGCGUGCAGGAAGACGGCCUUAUGGGUUGUAAACUGCUUUUAUCAGGGAAUAAACCCUUGUUUGCGAACAAGGCUGAAGGUACCUGAAGAAUAAGCAUCGGCUAACUCCGUG
Molecule: ribosomal RNA, 482 nt
Filed under: uncultured organism
Description: bacterial SSU rRNA
Rfam family: Bacterial small subunit ribosomal RNA
Source: RNAcentral